Long non-coding RNA from Rhinichthys klamathensis goyatoka, 416 nucleotides. RefSeq lists it as uncharacterized. The transcript is spliced from 3 exons. NCBI's taxonomy places the organism in Eukaryota, Metazoa, Chordata, Actinopteri, Cypriniformes, Leuciscidae. The record is from RefSeq and is a predicted model, not a curated record.
CUGGAGGUGACAACGAAGUUCCUUGAUGCCCCAUAUGCACUGUGGGGGGAAAUGCAGAAAACCUAUAUGAAAAGCUGUCCGAAGCAUUGAGCAAAAGAGGCAUUCCAUAGGAGAAUGUCAUUGCCUUCAACUCUGACAAUCCAAGUGUAAUGAAAGGCAGACACAAUUCAGUGAUUAGCAGACUAAGAGGAAGCCAGCCUAAUGUCCAGGACCUUGGCUGCAUUUGCCACCUUCUCCAGCUUGCCACUGGUUGUGGCAUCAAAGCAACCAAACUUCCAGUAGAGGACAUUUUGGUUGGGAUAUACACCCACUUUGACAAAAGUUCACAGACUCUGACAACCUGAAGCUGCCGAGGUACGGCAGUACCAGAUGGCUCAGUCUGCUUACAUGCAUUCAGAGAAUACUGAACCAGUGGG